This 269-nucleotide ribosomal RNA is filed under the name uncultured prokaryote. RNAcentral's name for it is "partial 16S ribosomal RNA". It matches the Rfam family "Bacterial small subunit ribosomal RNA", at positions 524 to 792 of the family's 1533-position model. The record is from RNAcentral.
UACGUAGGGGGCAAGCGUUAUCCGGAUUUACUGGGUGUAAAGGGAGCGCAGACGGAACUGCAAGUCUGAUGUGAAAGCCCGGGGCUCAACCGCGGGACUGCAUUGGAAACUGUAGAUCUGGAGUGCCGGAGGGGCAAGCGGAAUUCCUGGUGUAGCGGUGAAAUGCGUAGAUAUCAGGAGGAACACCGGCGGCGAAGGCGGCUUGCUGGACGGCAACUGACGUAGAGGCUCGAAAGCGUGGGGAGCAAACAGGAUUAGAUACCCUGGUA